GACGAACGCUGGCGGCGUGCUUAACACAUGCAAGUCGAACGGAAAGGCCCUGCUUUUGUGGGGUGCUCGAGUGGCGAACGGGUGAGUAACACGUGAGUAACCUGCCCUUGACUUUGGGAUAACUUCAGGAAACUGGGGCUAAUACCGGAUAGGAGCUCCUGCUGCAUGGUGGGGGUUGGAAAGUUUCGGCGGUUGGGGAUGGACUCGCGGCUUAUCAGCUUGUUGGUGGGGUAGUGGCUUACCAAGGCUUUGACGGGUAGCCGGCCUGAGAGGGUGACCGGCCACAUUGGGACUGGGAUCCGGCCCAGACUCCUACGGGAGGCAGCAGUGGGGAAUAUUGCACAAUGGGCGGAAGCCUGAUGCGGCAACGCCGCGUGCGGGAUGACGGCCUUCGGGUUGUAAACCGCGUUCGCCGGUGACGAGGCGUGAGUGACGGUAAUGGGUAAAGAAGCACCGGCUAACUACGUG
RNAcentral lists this ribosomal RNA (468 nucleotides) under uncultured bacterium. Its description in RNAcentral is "partial 16S ribosomal RNA". It matches the Rfam family "Bacterial small subunit ribosomal RNA", at positions 28 to 507 of the family's 1533-position model. The record is from RNAcentral.